UUACCCUUAAGUGUUAUAUUUAUGAUAAAAAAAUUUGUAGUGUCAUCUUAGGAUUUUUUUUUUGCAUGAACUAUAUUAUAAAAGCUCAGGGUGCAUCAAAGUUUACAAACGAAAUACAAAAUUCUGGAGACCUUUUCAACAGUAGAACAUAACUAGAAAGCAUAAGAUCAAAUCGAGAGAUAGAGCCUAUAAGGUGCGAGUCAUUCUCAGCAGUGUGAAAAAAAAACUGUGGGGAAGCUCCACUUUGUCCCUAAAGCGAUUUUUUUCGAAAAAACAAUUGAUAGUCGAAUAACACAACUUUGACGCACCCAAAAACGGUUGGGAUAUUGGCCGACAAGAACUGUAGGUGAGAAACUCCAGAACUAGGCAACAUCGAGAGAACGAAGCCCUAGUUGACUUGAUUUGACACUCAAACAAGCACUUUCCACUCUAAAACCAACAAAGCUUACAGAAGAGACCAGGUGAAUCUCAAACUCAUCGAUGAGUAUAAAGGUUGGAUGGGGGCGGGGAGACGGUUGACGCUAGGAAAUUUAAUUUUCUAAAUUCUGUUAAUUUGCGUCAAUUUGUCAUUUGCUUGUAUUUACAUUGUCAACAUACAUUUGCAACUAAUCUGCUUUCAUUUUCAAAUCUCUUUGGCUACCCUCUUUAUUACUCCUCGUAUAGACUCAUAAGUAAACAAGACAACUUCUCCAAAUGUUGUUAGUUUGUGUUAGACUACCAUCAAUUUGCCAUUAUGUUCCUUUACUUUGCCAACAUCUACCACGUCUUUGCCGUCAUUUUCCAGACUUUAUAGUUAGCCUUUUCAUCACUCCGUGAAUUGAAAUCUAAAAUUUUUUUUUUUUUUUUUUUUUUUUGAAAGAAUGUUAAAUUUUUAUUCAAUCAAAAAACCUUGUUACAACUAAGUGUGGACCUGAUUAAUACAAACUUCCAGCAACCUUAACUACUCAUAUAAUUCCUAUACUCUUGUUUGGAACCAAAAUUGAAGAGCUCCCACCAUACCCCUUCCUCCAUUCCUUCUCAUCAGGCUGAGCCUGUUUCUAACACCCUUAUCCGUGAGCUUCUUGAUCAUAGACAGCGGAAUUGGCUUUUCCCCAUGCCUGAUCUUAUUUCUUUCUCUCCAAAUUGUAUAGACUGCAGCUUGAAAUUCAUAUCUAAUACAAAAUAACCUCUUCUUAUCACCUCUACUAUUUGAAAUCAUCAGCACAAGUGAAGACCAGACGUUAGAUUAAGAAUUCAUUAGAAUUCCACUGCUGAGAUGACUCCACAACUGCGAUGAAAAAGCACACUCAAAGAAUAAAUGAUUACGGGUUUCUGCAGCAGCCUUACAUAACACGCAGAUAGUAUCAGCUCCACUGCACCACUUUGAUACCCUGUCCAUAGUAGAGAGCCUGUCCAGCAUAGCUAACCAAGAUAAAAAUGCAAACUUCGGGGUAGCCAUAGAAAACCAAAUCCCCCGCGCCCAAUUGAACUGCUCGUUGGACCCUCUCAUCAUUCGCCAAGUAUCAUUUGUUGAGAACGUUUCUUUAAACCCAGAACUUCCUUUCCAGAGACUAACAUCAUCCACUUCUCUCUGAAUGCAAACUCUAUAAUUCAACAAGAUAAUGUCUCAAAAUGUUGUUAGUUUGCGUGGCCAUUAAAUUUUCUUUACUUUGCCAGCGUCUGCCACUCAUUUGCUUUUAUUUUCAAAUUUUUACAGCUAGCCUCUUGAUCAUUUCUUGUAUGCGUUCAUAAAUUCAACAAGAUACUGUCUUCAAACGUUGUUAGUUUCUGUUCUUAUAAUCUACCAUUAAACUCCUAUUAAUUUGCCAGAAUUUUUUCUCUACUCUGCCAAUGUUUUUCACAAAUCUUCCUUCACUUUCCAACCCAUGUGGCUAGUCUCUUCAAUGAAAGAGUCACUCCUUAUAUGCGCACUCAUAAAUUCAACAAGUAAUGUUUCCAAAUAUUGACAGUUUGUGUUAGUCUUCCAUUAACUUGUCAUCAAUUUGUCUUUACUUUGCCAACAAUUACCACUAAUAUUCAGUUCAUUAUUCGGCGGAUCUCCUCUUCAUCAUUCCUUGUAUUAAUUUUUGUUAAUCUGCCUUUGCUUUAAAUAUCUGCCACUAAUGUAUCUUUCACUACAAGAAAAAUGAGUUUUAAUAGCAGACCGGAAUAGCGUUUUUUACGAUUGUGCUAUAGUUGACAUACCCGUUAGUUUUAGAUAGCGUUUGUAUAUUUGAAAAUGCUAUGAUAGAGUGGUAUAUUUGGAAACGCUAUGAUAACAUAUGGUUUUAUAUGUAUCACUUGGGUUUUGAUAGCAAAACAUGAUUAAAAACGCUAUGUUUGGUUUUUAAAUCCCUAAACCCUAAAACAAGUUUUUUAACCGUAAACUCUAAAUAAAAAUUUUAAACUCUAUUUUAACAUCAAAUCUUAAAUUUAACUUCAAAUGUUAGAUAUAAACUCAAAAAUUAAUCAUUUCCAAAAAUUUAUCUCAAAUCUUAAAAUCAAUAUCCCAAACCUUUAACUUUUAAACCAUAUACUCAUACAUUUAUUCUAAACUCAAAAUUUUAAAAAUAAAUUAAUUAAAAAAAAUAUCAACACUAAAUAAAAAUUCAAAAAUUAUUUAUUUUUCAAAAAUUAAUAUUAAAUCAAUACUCUAAACCUUUAAUCCUCAAACCCUAUACUCAAACCUUUAUUCCAAACUCAAACUUUAAAUCUAAAAUCUAAAGACAAACUUUUCAAAUCCUAUACUCAAACAUUUAAACCUUUAAACUAAUUUCAUUUACUUUUACUCUUUUACUUUAAACCUUUUACUUUAAACCUUUAAAAAAAUUUCAUAUUACAGUUUAAAAAUUUUGGACUUGGACUAAUGGUUAUAUACGAAUCACACGAUCUUCUUUUGGAUCUAAAGUUAGGGAUCCACUAACCGUUUUCUGAUUGGUCAGUGUGGGGUGACAAAGAUCGCUACUUUCAGCCUUUGAUAAAUGUUGAUCCAACGGCCACAGUUAAUUAAUCAAUUUUUCUAAUUUAUUUCUGCCUCAGAUUUUUUUUUCUUUCCUUUCUAUUUUGUUCUUCUUCCCUACGCCAUCAACAUAUCUCUUCUUCUUUUCUGUAUCUCUGCACAUAUUUCUUUCUUAUUCUCUAAACCACCACCACCACCGUCUCUUCUUAUUCCUUUUGUUCGAAUGGCGGUGGACUCCAAAGAAGGAAGGAUGAGAAGACAACAUGGUCGAGAUCUGGAAAUUCAAGUGUAGGAGAGCUUGCUCAAGAAGUGUCGCGAAGGUCUUCAAUCCACACAGAAACUUCAAUACGUUGCUUCUCCAUUGCUUCUGCUUCAUCGAUCCAGAAACAGUUGGAGAGCUUGCUGUCUAUAGUUGGUGGAGUAUGGUCAGUGAAUAGAAAAUCUUGAAGCUUGAGACAAAGGUGCGCGGAGAGGAUAGAUAAGCCGGAGACGAACUUGACGGUGGUGUAUGGGAUGAGCUUGGCAGUGGUGAGCCGAAGACGAGCUCGACGACAGUGAGUGGGAAGAGCCAUGGUGAUUCCGUCGUCAUCUCCAACGUCGAAGGAAAGAAGAGAGAGACGCGAGGGCUUGGUUGUCACAGCAAAUGGUGGUUGACGGCGGCGGAGCUAAGAAGCUUGAAAGCGGCGUAGUUUUGUUAUUAGGUUUAGUUAGCAAAUAUGUUUAGGUCUAAGCUUGGUUUAGGUCUAAGCUUGGUUUAGUUUUGGUUUAUUUUUUUAUAUGUAAACAGGUUUUAGUUUAUGAAUAAUUCAAUUUAAAAUAUUUAAAAUA
Molecule: long non-coding RNA, 3766 nt
Organism: Brassica napus (rape)
Lineage: Eukaryota; Viridiplantae; Streptophyta; Magnoliopsida; Brassicales; Brassicaceae
Exons: 2
Source: RefSeq, a predicted model, not a curated record